GAUCCUGGCUCAGGAUGAACGCUAGCUACAGGCUUAACACAUGCAAGUCGGAGGGGCAGUGGGAUUGAAGCUUGCUUCAAUUGCCGGCGACCGGCGCACGGGUGAGUAACGCGUAUCCAACCUUCCGUACACUCAGGGAUAGCCUUUCGAAAGAAAGAUUAAUACCUGAUGGUAUGAUGAGAUUGCAUGAUAUCAUCAUUAAAGAUUUAUCGGUGUACGAUGGGG
RNAcentral lists this ribosomal RNA (225 nucleotides) under uncultured bacterium. RNAcentral's name for it is "partial 16S ribosomal RNA". It matches the Rfam family "Bacterial small subunit ribosomal RNA", at positions 15 to 230 of the family's 1533-position model. The record is from RNAcentral.